AACGAACGCUGGCGGCAUGCCUAACACAUGCAAGUCGAACGAGACCUUCGGGUCUAGUGGCGCACGGGUGCGUAACGCGUGGGAACCUGCCCUUAGGUUCGGAAUAACUCCCCGAAAGGGGUGCUAAUACCGGAUAAUGUCUUCGGACCAAAGAUUUAUCGCCUUUGGGUGGGCCCGCGUUGGAUUAGCUAGUUGGUAGGGUAAAAGCCUACCAAGGCGACGAUGCAUAGCUGGUCGGAGAGGAUGAUCCGCCACACUGGGACUGAGACACGGCCCAGACUCCUACGGGAGGCAGCAGUGGGGAAUAUUGGACAAUGGGCGAAAGCCUGAUACAGCAAUGCCGCGUGAGUGAUGAAGGCCUUAGGGUUGUAAAGCUCUUUUACCCGGGAUGAUAAUGACAGUACCGGGAGAAGAAGCUCCGGCUAACUCCGUG
Molecule: ribosomal RNA, 433 nt
Filed under: uncultured bacterium
Lineage: Bacteria
Description: partial 16S ribosomal RNA
Rfam family: Bacterial small subunit ribosomal RNA
Source: RNAcentral